GGAGAUGUGUCCGAGCUGGCUGAAGGAGCACGAUUGGAAAUCGUGUAUAUGUGCAAAAACGCAUAUCCUGGGUUCGAAUCCCAGCAUCUCCGCCA
Molecule: transfer RNA, 95 nt
Filed under: Candidatus Cloacimonadota bacterium
Lineage: Bacteria; Pseudomonadati; Candidatus Cloacimonadota
Also listed under: 2 other names
Description: tRNA-Ser
Rfam family: tRNA
About the family: Transfer RNA (tRNA) molecules are approximately 80 nucleotides in length. Their secondary structure includes four short double-helical elements and three loops (D, anti-codon, and T loops).
Source: RNAcentral